This 371-nucleotide ribosomal RNA is filed under the name uncultured organism. RNAcentral's name for it is "partial 16S ribosomal RNA". It matches the Rfam family "Bacterial small subunit ribosomal RNA", at positions 527 to 896 of the family's 1533-position model. The record is from RNAcentral.
GUAGGUGGCAAGCGUUGUCCGGAAUUAUUGGGCGUAAAGCGCGCGCAGGCGGUUCUUUAAGUCUGAUGUGAAAGCCCACGGGCUCAACCGUGGAGGGUCAUUGGAAACUGGAGAACUUGAGUACAGAAGAGGAAAGCGGAAUUCCACGUGUAGCGGUGAAAUGCGUAGAGAUGUGGAGGAACACCAGUGGCGAAGGCGGCUUUCUGGUCUGUAACUGACGCUGAGGCGCGAAGCGUGGGGAGCAAACAGGAUUAGAUACCCUGGUAGUCCACGCCGUAAACGAUGAGUGCUAAGUGUUAGGGGGUUUCCGCCCCUUAGUGCUGCAGCUAACGCAUUAAGCACUCCGCCUGGGGAGUACGGCCGCAAGGCUG